RNAcentral lists this ribosomal RNA (507 nucleotides) under uncultured bacterium. RNAcentral's name for it is "partial 16S ribosomal RNA". It matches the Rfam family "Bacterial small subunit ribosomal RNA", at positions 28 to 507 of the family's 1533-position model. The record is from RNAcentral.
GACGAACGCUGGCGGCGUGCCUAAUACAUGCAAGUCGAACGCAUUUUCUAUCAACGUAGCCUGCUACACCGAAAGAAAGUGAGUGGCGAACGGGUGAGUAACACGUGGGUAACCUGCCCAUCAGCGGGGGAUAACACUUGGAAACAGGUGCUAAUACCGCAUAAUUCCAUUUACCGCAUGGUAGAUGGAUGAAAGGCGCUUUUGCGUCACUGAUGGAUGGACCCGCGGUGCAUUAGCUAGUUGGUGGGGUAACGGCCUACCAAGGCUGCGAUGCAUAGCCGACCUGAGAGGGUGAUCGGCCACACUGGGACUGAGACACGGCCCAGACUCCUACGGGAGGCAGCAGUAGGGAAUCUUCGGCAAUGGACGCAAGUCUGACCGAGCAACGCCGCGUGAGUGAAGAAGGUUUUCGGAUUGUAAAACUCUGUUGUUAGAGAAGAACAAGGAUGAGAGUGGAAAGUUCAUCCCUUGACGGUAUCUAACCAGAAAGCCACGGCUAACUACGUG